Molecule: ribosomal RNA, 530 nt
Filed under: Boninia sp. 214385958
Lineage: Eukaryota; Metazoa; Platyhelminthes; Polycladida; Boniniidae
Description: SSU rRNA
Rfam family: Eukaryotic small subunit ribosomal RNA
Source: RNAcentral
ACGAUGAAACCGCGAAUGGCUCAUUAAAUCAGCUAUGGUUCCUUGGAUCGUGUCUUUUACAUGGAUAACUGUGGGAAUUCUAGAGCUAAUACAUGCACCAAAGCCGUGACCGCAAGGAACGGCGCAUUUAUUAGAUCAAAACCAACCGGACUUCGGUCUGAGUUGUUUGAUGACUCUGGAUAAACUUGAGCAGAUCGCAUGGCCAUGCGCCGGCGACGUAUCCUUCAAAUGUCUGCCCUAUCAACUUACGUUGGUAGGUUACCUGCCUACCAUGGUGAUCACGGGUAACGGGGAAUCAGGGUUCGAUUCCGGAGAGGGAGCAUGAGAAACGGCUACCAGAACUACGGUUUGCAGCAGGCGCGCAAAUUACCCACUCCCGGUACGGGGAGGUAGUGACGAAAAAUAACAAUACGGGUCUUUUUAUAGGCCCCGUAAUUGGAAUGAGUACACCUUAAAACCAUUAACGAGUACCAAUUGGAGGGCAAGUCUGGUGCCAGCAGCCGCGGUAAUUCCAGCUCCAAUAGCGUAUA